GUCCCAAUGGAGCUUAGAAUGAGGAACACUAUUUUGACAACUGGACAUAAAUAAGUUUGUUUUUCAGGAUUCCAAAGCUGUGUUUUAUCUUGGCAGCUGCCUUGGUCUGUUUCACUGGAAAAUGGCUGUUUGAGUGAGGAAGAAAAAUGCAACUGUGGACUAUACAAAGCUCAUUUUGGAGAUAGGAAACUAAUCCAGCUAGUGAUCAGACAGAACCAACUCACUAGCAACAUGCUCCUUUGAAUGAGGUCAACUGUCUGCUCACAGCCAUGAUGUCAGUUCUCGAGGGUUAUAUUUAAUAUGCUUCUCACACUACAGAGAAAAAAAAAUGACUACAUUAGAGUAAAAUCUAGAAGCGCCAGUGAGGGUGGCGGUCGAAAGAAUCAAGUACCAAGCAAGAAAUUAGCAAGAGAUGGCUUCAUCCCUAAGGGUUUUACUGCCCUGGAUUUGAAGGAAAUGAGGUAAAAAAAGGUGAAAUGACUUACCUAGCAUCACAUAGCUGGUCUGCAGCACAGUAAAAAAAAAAAAAAAAAGGAAUGAUGAGUCUUCAGAUCCUCAGAAAAAUACUUUAAAUAUUG
This 578-nucleotide long non-coding RNA is filed under the name Struthio camelus australis. RNAcentral describes it as "lncRNA (ENSSCUG00000000564.1)". The record is from RNAcentral. Lineage: Eukaryota; Metazoa; Chordata; Aves; Struthioniformes; Struthionidae.